UCAAACUAUCCUUAUAGAAGGUUUAUUGUUUACACCAAUGAUAUGAUCGUGCGAUUCGAUCUUGUUUGAU
This 70-nucleotide transfer RNA is filed under the name Neuroctenus parus. RNAcentral's name for it is "tRNA-Val". The record is from RNAcentral. Lineage: Eukaryota; Metazoa; Arthropoda; Insecta; Hemiptera; Aradidae.